Long non-coding RNA from Gallus gallus (chicken), 461 nucleotides. NCBI's taxonomy places the organism in Eukaryota, Metazoa, Chordata, Aves, Galliformes, Phasianidae. The record is from Ensembl.
UCUAGACUUACCAGGUUUCAACAACAUCUAGUUCAAAAUGGCACUGUCCCCUCUGAAACAAGAAAACACUGGAGUGCAGAAAACAGCAGGAUGUGAUGAGGCAGACAAAAGAACUGAUAUUUACAGCUCUAGAGCGCGUAAUGGAUAUGUGCAGUCCAGGUUGGUGCCUGAAACUCAUCCCUGCUCUGCCUCUGGUGAGCAACAGUAGAAAAAGUCUACAACCCUUCUUUUCUACACCAUCUACAGAGCUGAAAGAGGAACAGACUCAGCAUAUCAAUCAAUCCUUGCUCUACCGUCAUGUAUCUUCUACGGAUCCUUGACAUCUCAUCUUUAAUUUUCAUUGUUUGUAGCAGUUAAUAUGUUGUUUUAACUUUAUUGCCUCCAAGAUAUUCAAUCCCAGAGUUUGCUGACUUCCAAUCUGCAAGUUUGAAGUAAUGUUGAGUCUAAAUUUUUGACCAUUU